AUUGAACGCUGGCGGCAGGCCUAACACAUGCAAGUCGAACGGUAACAGGAAGAAGCUUGCUUCUUUUCUGACGAGGAGCGGACGGGUGAGUAAUGUCUGAGAAACUGCCGGAUGGAGGGGGAUAACUACUGGAAACGGUAGCUAAUAGCGCAUAACGUCUCAAGACCAAAGGGGGUGGGCUUGGGUCGUCUGUCCGUCGGGUAUUCCCAGAUUGUAUUAGCUAGUAGGGGGGGUUACGGGUCACAUGGGCGAGCAGCGCUAGACCGUCUGAGAGGAUGAGCAGCGACCUUGGAGCUGGGACAGCGUCCAGACUACUGCGGUACGCAGCAGUGGGGAAUAUUGGACAAUGGGCGCAAGCCUGAUGCAGCGAUGCCGCGUGUAUUACGACGGCCUUCGGGUUGUAAAGUACUUUCAGCGGGGAGGAAGCGCGUACAGUUAAUACCUUUGCUCAUUGACGUUACCCGCAGAAGAAGCACCGGCUAACUACGUG
This 490-nucleotide ribosomal RNA is filed under the name uncultured bacterium. RNAcentral's name for it is "partial 16S ribosomal RNA". It matches the Rfam family "Bacterial small subunit ribosomal RNA", at positions 30 to 507 of the family's 1533-position model. The record is from RNAcentral.